RNAcentral lists this ribosomal RNA (429 nucleotides) under Chloroflexota bacterium. RNAcentral describes it as "Chloroflexi bacterium partial 16S ribosomal RNA". It matches the Rfam family "Bacterial small subunit ribosomal RNA", at positions 355 to 776 of the family's 1533-position model. The record is from RNAcentral. Lineage: Bacteria; Bacillati; Chloroflexota.
UGGGGAAUAUUGCACAAUGGGCGCAAGCCUGAUGCAGCCAUGCCGCGUGUGUGAAGAAGGCCUUCGGGUUGUAAAGCACUUUCAGCGGGGAGGAAGGCGUUAAGGUUAAUAACCUUGGCGAUUGACGUUACCCGCAGAAGAAGCACCGGCUAACUCCGUGCCAGCAGCCGCGGUAAUACGGAGGGUGCAAGCGUUAAUCGGAAUUACUGGGCGUAAAGCGCACGCAGGCGGUCUGUCAAGUCGGAUGUGAAAUCCCCGGGCUCAACCGGGGAACUGCAUUCGAAACUGGCAGGCUAGAGUAUUGUAGAGGGGGGUAGAAUUCCAGGUGUAGCGGUGAAAUGCGUAGAGAUCUGGAGGAAUACCGGUGGCGAAGGCGGCCCCCUGGACAAAGACUGACGCUCAGGUGCGAAAGCGUGGGGAGCAAACAGG